This 450-nucleotide ribosomal RNA is filed under the name uncultured bacterium. RNAcentral's name for it is "partial 16S ribosomal RNA". It matches the Rfam family "Bacterial small subunit ribosomal RNA", at positions 354 to 796 of the family's 1533-position model. The record is from RNAcentral.
GUGGGGAAUAUUGGACAAUGGGCGAAAGCCUGAUCCAGCCAUGCCGCGUGUGUGAAGAAGGUCUUCGGAUUGUAAAGCACUUUAAGUUGGGAGGAAGGGCAGUAAGUUAAUACCUUGCUGUUUUGACGUUACCAACAGAAUAAGCACCGGCUAACUUCGUGCCAGCAGCCGCGGUAAUACGAAGGGUGCAAGCGUUAAUCGGAAUUACUGGGCGUAAAGCGCGCGUAGGUGGUUCAGCAAGUUGGAGGUGAAAUCCCCGGGCUCAACCUGGGAACUGCCUCCAAAACUGCAUGACUAGAGUACGGUAGAGGGUAGUGGAAUUUCCUGUGUAGCGGUGAAAUGCGUAGAUAUAGGAAGGAACACCAGUGGCGAAGGCGACUACCUGGACUGAUACUGACACUGAGGUGUGAAAGCGUGGGGAGCAAACAGGAUUAGAUACCCUGGUAGUCC